RNAcentral lists this long non-coding RNA (1040 nucleotides) under Papio anubis (olive baboon). Its description in RNAcentral is "lncRNA (ENSPANG00000048579.1)". Lineage: Eukaryota; Metazoa; Chordata; Mammalia; Primates; Cercopithecidae. The record is from RNAcentral.
GGGGUCUCCAGUGGAAAUACAAUAAGGAAUGAUAAAGACUUCAGUAAAGUAGACUUUCAAAAUCACCAUGCUUAAAGAGUACUGAAGAAAAAUAAUCUUAAAAGUCAGACUUUCACUUAUAAGGAUUAGGCUCUUGAGAUAAAAAGGCUCUCUGAUUUGCAGGUGUAUUCUAUAAACUUCAAGAACAAGAAUCUAGAGAAAUCCAAGCUGUAAGAUGUGUGUAGGAAUGGAUGUGAAAGCAGUUUUUCAGACUGAAAUGAGUGACAUCUCAAGGAACUUUGCACACAUUGGAUAUUUUCUGUGUGGACCUUUGGGCUCUAGACUCACGGGUGUACAAGCAUGGCUCCAGCAUCUGCUUCUGGUGAGGACAUCAAGGAGCUCAACAAUCAUGGCAGAAGUUGAAAGUGGAACAGGCAGGUCACAUGUGGAAGCAAAAAAAAAAGAAAGAAAGAAAGAAAGAAAUACAGUAGACAAGCCAAAAUAAUUUGCAUAAAACACAAUGGAAAGUGGCUGAGAAGAGGACAAUUUAGAAAAAUGAUCUCUCCAGGAACGCUGCCAAGGUAAGUAGCAGUAGAUAUUGAUUAUAUAGACCUGUCAUGGAUCGGUUUAACCAGUCAUUCUGAAAAUUGAAUUGGAUUUUUCUUUCUGAAAUGAUGUUUUUGAAGCUGUGCCAAAUGCAACCUCUCUCCCCACCCAUUCUGGUUUGUGUCUGCUUUUCAAAGUUAAUACUGCUCAGAUAUUUAUAAUGUUGGUCACAGAAAAGUCUUUCUCUAUGCCCAGAGCAAACUGACUACGUUACAUCAUUUUAUGUGACAAUUUCCCUCACUUGCAAAAAUUAUGGUAUAUUCUGAAAUAGUGGAGGUAAAAUAUGCAAUCCAGUGUGAAAAUAGGUUAAGCACAGAUGAGAAGGGAAAGCAGAAAUUCAUUGCAAGCUGUAUAGAUAAGGUGACUAUAUAAUUUAUCCUCCAAACCUGGAAACUUCUGAGAGUAGCAGCAGGCACUGUAAAUAAUCAGUACAACAGGCUUAAACUGGAGAUGCU